GACGAACGCUGGCGGCGUGCUUAACACAUGCAAGUCGAACGGAAAGGCCCUGCUUUUGUGGGGUGCUCGAGUGGCGAACGGGUGAGUAACACGUGAGUAACCUGCCCUUGACUUUGGGAUAACUUCAGGAAACUGGGGCUAAUACCGGAUAGGAGCUCCUGCUGCAUGGUGGGGGUUGAAAAGUUUCGGCGGUUGGGGAUGGACUCGCGGCUUAUCAGCUUGUUGGUGGGGUAGUGGCUUACCAAGGCUUUGACGGGUAGCCGGCCUGAGAGGGUGACCGGCCACAUUGGGACUGAGAUACGGCCCAGACUCCUACGGGAGGCAGCAGUGGGGAAUAUUGCACAAUGGGCGGAAGCCUGACGCAGCAACGCCGCGUGCGGGAUGACGGCCUUCGGGUUGUAAACCGCUUUCGCCUGUGACGAAGCGUGAGUGACGGUAAUGGGUAAAGAAGCACCGGCUAACUACGUG
Molecule: ribosomal RNA, 468 nt
Filed under: uncultured bacterium
Lineage: Bacteria
Description: partial 16S ribosomal RNA
Rfam family: Bacterial small subunit ribosomal RNA
Source: RNAcentral